GACGAACGCUGGCGGCGCGCUUAACACAUGCAAGUCGAACGGGAUUUAGUAGACAGAAACCUCGGUGGAAGAUUACUAAUGAGAGUGGCGAACGGGUGAGUAACGCGUGAGCAACCUGCCUAUGACAGUGGGAUAGCCUCGGGAAACCGGGAUUAAUACCGCAUAAAAUCGUAGAAACACAUGUUUCAACGGUCAAAGAUUUAUCGGUCAUAGAUGGGCUCGCGUCUGAUUAGCUAGUUGGUGAGAUAACAGCCCACCAAGGCGACGAUCAGUAGCCGGUCUGAGAGGAUGAACGGCCACAUUGGAACUGAGACACGGUCCAAACUCCUACGGGAGGCAGCAGUGGGGAAUAUUGCACAAUGGGGGAAACCCUGAUGCAGCGACGCCGCGUGAACGAAGAAGGUAUUCGUAUCGUAAAGUUCUGUCCUAUGGGAAGAUAAUGACAGUACCAUAGAAGAAAGCUCCGGCUAAAUACGUGCCAGCAGCCGCGGUAAUACGUAUGGAGCGAGCGUUGUCCGGAAUUAUUGGGCGUAAAGGGUACGCAGGCGGUUUAAUAAGUCGAAUGUUAAAGAUCGGGGCUCAACCCCGUAAAGCAUUGGAAACUGAUAAACUUGAGUAGUGGAGAGGAAAGUGGAAUUCCUAGUGUAGUGGUGAAAUACGUAGAUAUUAGGAGGAAUACCAGUAGCGAAGGCGACUUUCUGGACACAAACUGACGCUGAGGUACGAAAGCGUGGGGAGCAAACAGG
RNAcentral lists this ribosomal RNA (746 nucleotides) under uncultured Finegoldia sp. Its description in RNAcentral is "bacterial SSU rRNA". It matches the Rfam family "Bacterial small subunit ribosomal RNA", at positions 28 to 776 of the family's 1533-position model. Lineage: Bacteria; Bacillati; Bacillota; Tissierellia; Tissierellales; Peptoniphilaceae. The record is from RNAcentral.